This 523-nucleotide long non-coding RNA is filed under the name Rhinopithecus roxellana (golden snub-nosed monkey). RNAcentral describes it as "lncRNA (ENSRROG00000045885.1)". The record is from RNAcentral. Lineage: Eukaryota; Metazoa; Chordata; Mammalia; Primates; Cercopithecidae.
CUGCACGCUCGGAAGAGCAGGUUCCUCAACCCAGGCCCCGGCCCCUCCCGCUACGCUCGCCCCUCCCGGCGCCCCGCAGGGCUGGCUGCGAGGGAGGGGGCGUUGGGUGCCUGGCCGAGGCGCCCUACCCCGUCCGUUUUGCCCAGCUUUCUGCCUGGGGCGCACGGAGCAAUCGGGAGAGGGGACCCAGCGUCCGCCCCAGGACUCCCCCAGCCAGUGCCCUCCCUGGGACCUUGCCCAAAUUUAAAGCAGAGGCCAGUGAGCAGGCGGCAACCGGCUCCCGCCUUCUGUGCCACAGCCCUGCGGGACCUGCGCUCGCCCCUGUUGCCCUCGCCCCCUGGGCCGGCCUCCCGUGACGAAAAUACGAGUUCUCCGAUCGCGUUGGACCGGAGCGGGCCAGGUCCGAGCUGCUUGCAGAGGGAAACCAUCGGAAAUAAUGAAUAGCCGCUCCAUGCAAAUUAUUCAGACAGUUUAGCGUCGGUAGCCGCGAGAAAUAUAUAAAGAACACGAGUCAAAUGACAUU